GACGAACGCUGGCGGCGUGCUUAACACAUGCAAGUCGAACGGAAAGGCCCUGCUUUUGUGGGGUGCUCGAGUGGCGAACGGGUGAGUAACACGUGAGUAACCUGCCCUUGACUUUAGGAUAACUUCAGGAAACUGGGGCUAAUACCGGAUAGGAGCUCCUGCUGCAUGGUGGGGGUUUGAAAGUUUCGGCGGUUGGGGAUGGACUCGCGGCUUAUCAGCUUGUUGGUGGGGUAGUGGCUUACCAAGGCUUUGACGGGUAGCCGGCCUGAGAGGGUGACCGGCCACAUUGGGACUGAGAUACGGCCCAGACUCCUACGGGAGGCAGCAGUGGGGAAUAUUGCACAAUGGGCGGAAGCCUGAUGCAGCAACGCCGCGUGCGGGAUGACGGCCUUCAGGUUGUAAACCGCUUUCGCCAGUGACGAAGCGUGAGUGACGGUAAUGGGUAAAGAAGCACCGGCUAACUACGUG
This 468-nucleotide ribosomal RNA is filed under the name uncultured bacterium. Its description in RNAcentral is "partial 16S ribosomal RNA". It matches the Rfam family "Bacterial small subunit ribosomal RNA", at positions 28 to 507 of the family's 1533-position model. The record is from RNAcentral.